GUGAGGAAUAUUGGUCAAUGGGCGAAAGCCUGAACCAGCCAUGUCGCGUGAAGGAUGAAGGUCCUAUGGAUUGUAAACUUCUUUUGCAGGAGGGUAAAGUGAGCUACGUGUAGUUCAUUGCAAGUACCCUGCGAAUAAGCAUCGGCUAACUCCGUGCCAGCAGCCGCGGUAAUACGGAGGAUGCGAGCGUUAUCCGGAUUUAUUGGGUUUAAAGGGUGCAUAGGCGGACUAAUUAGUCAGCGGUGAAAUUUUGCGGCUCAACCGUAAAACUGCCGUUGAAACUGUUAGUCUUGAGUGCGGUAGAGGUAGGCGGAAUGUGUGGUGUAGCGGUGAAAUGCUUAGAUAUCACACAGAACACCGAUUGCGUAGGCAGCUUACUGGAGCGCAACUGACGCUGAGGCACGAAAGCGUGGGGAUCGAACAGGAUUAGAAACCCGGGUAGUCC
RNAcentral lists this ribosomal RNA (445 nucleotides) under uncultured bacterium. RNAcentral describes it as "partial 16S ribosomal RNA". It matches the Rfam family "Bacterial small subunit ribosomal RNA", at positions 354 to 796 of the family's 1533-position model. The record is from RNAcentral.